GGGUGCCAAGAGGCAGACCGCAGGCCAUCUUGAGAAGGACUCCAUGUUCAAGUGCAGAAAGGGCCCAAUCUCGUGGAUGAACCACAUGGCCAGCUUCUGGGUGCAGGCACAGUGCCACGUCUUCCAUCACUUCGUGAUGUGCCACACCAGCACUGAAGAGACAGCCUGGAGACAGGGCAAGAGGAAGGCUGCGAAGGAUGAGGUGGUGAAUUCCAGCUUCUUCCUGACCCUGAGCCCACCCCCAAGGUGGCCCUCAACCUUUAAGAGUGGGAGAGCAAAAUUGACGGCUUCGAGCGCUUCACCAAGAAGAUGGACCACAGGGCACUCAGCUCAACUUCUCAGCCAAUGAGUUGACAUGCAAGCAGAUUAUGGUGACGGGCUUUAAGAAAGAGCAUCAGAAGGUGGCCAGCUCUUCAGCCUCAGCCAGGUCUUGGAGCUGGACCAGGCCAUCACUUCACCAGAGAUGCCUUCAACACCGUCGGUGAGCUCUUUGCCAAUCAGCCCAGCCAGGAACUGGACCCAGUCAUGGACCUGUUAGUGCUGUCUCUGGGACACCAGGUCAUCAUCCUGGACAUCAUCCACAUACACAAGGAAGCUCUUACCAAAGUCAUGGAGAGCAGGCAACAUGUGGCAGAAGGGAAGACAGAGAUGCAGAGGCUGAUGACAUCAGAAUCACAGGAACAGGAUUUCUUUGGACACUGUGGCUGAAAUUCACCACUUCCAUCCAAUUCCAGUGAGAAACAUGGACUCACAGAUGCAGCAUUUCUUGCAACAAGAGAUACUAUUUUUUCAAAAGGUCACCCAGGAAUUGAUAGUGUUGAAUGACUAGAUACUC
Molecule: long non-coding RNA, 835 nt
Filed under: Homo sapiens (human)
Lineage: Eukaryota; Metazoa; Chordata; Mammalia; Primates; Hominidae
Description: non-protein coding FAM95C:4
Source: RNAcentral